GACGAACGCUGGCGGCGUGCUUAACACAUGCAAGUCGAACGGAAAGGCCCUGCUUUUGUGGGGUGCUCGAUUGGCGAACGGGUGAGUAACACGCGAGUAACCUGCCCUUGACUUUGGGAUAACUUCAGGAAACUGGGGCUAAUACCGGAUAGGAGCUCCUGCUGCAUGGUGGGGGUUGGAAAGUUUCGGCGGUUGGGGCUGGACUCGCGGCUUAUCAGCUUGUUGGUGGGGUAGUGGCUUACCAAGGAUUUGACGGGUAGCCGGCCUGAGAGCGUGACCGGCCACAUUGGGACUGAGGUACGGCGCAGACUCCUACGGGAGGCAGCAGUGGGAGAUAUUGCACAAUGGGCGGAAGCCUGAUGCGGCAACGCCGCGUGCGGGAUGACGGCCUUCGAGUUGUAAACCGCUUUCGCCUGUGCCGAAGCGUGAGUGACGGUAAUGGGUAAAGAAGCACCGGCUAACUACGUG
Molecule: ribosomal RNA, 468 nt
Filed under: uncultured bacterium
Lineage: Bacteria
Description: partial 16S ribosomal RNA
Rfam family: Bacterial small subunit ribosomal RNA
Source: RNAcentral